This 2932-nucleotide ribosomal RNA is filed under the name Escherichia coli O55:H7. RNAcentral describes it as "23S ribosomal RNA". It matches the Rfam family "Bacterial large subunit ribosomal RNA". The record is from RNAcentral. Lineage: Bacteria; Pseudomonadati; Pseudomonadota; Gammaproteobacteria; Enterobacterales; Enterobacteriaceae.
GGGUUGUGAGGUUAAGCGACUAAGCGUACACGGUGGAUGCCCUGGCAGUCAGAGGCGAUGAAGGACGUGCUAAUCUGCGAUAAGCGUCGGUAAGGUGAUAUGAACCGUUAUAACCGGCGAUUUCCGAAUGGGGAAACCCAGUGUGUUUCGACACACUAUCAUUAACUGAAUCCAUAGGUUAAUGAGGCGAACCGGGGGAACUGAAACAUCUAAGUACCCCGAGGAAAAGAAAUCAACCGAGAUUCCCCCAGUAGCGGCGAGCGAACGGGGAGGAGCCCAGAGCCUGAAUCAGUGUGUGUGUUAGUGGAAGCGUCUGGAAAGGCGCGCGAUACAGGGUGACAGCCCCGUACACAAAAAUGCACAUACUGUGAGCUCGAUGAGUAGGGCGGGACACGUGGUAUCCUGUCUGAAUAUGGGGGGACCAUCCUCCAAGGCUAAAUACUCCUGACUGACCGAUAGUGAACCAGUACCGUGAGGGAAAGGCGAAAAGAACCCCGGCGAGGGGAGUGAAAAAGAACCUGAAACCGUGUACGUACAAGCAGUGGGAGCACAGAGCAAUCUGUGUGACUGCGUACCUUUUGUAUAAUGGGUCAGCGACUUAUAUUCUGUAGCAAGGUUAACCGAAUAGGGGAGCCGAAGGGAAACCGAGUCUUAACUGGGCGUUAAGUUGCAGGGUAUAGACCCGAAACCCGGUGAUCUAGCCAUGGGCAGGUUGAAGGUUGGGUAACACUAACUGGAGGACCGAACCGACUAAUGUUGAAAAAUUAGCGGAUGACUUGUGGCUGGGGGUGAAAGGCCAAUCAAACCGGGAGAUAGCUGGUUCUCCCCGAAAGCUAUUUAGGUAGCGCCUCGUGAACUCAUCUCCGGGGGUAGAGCACUGUUUCGGCAAGGGGGUCAUCCCGACUUACCAACCCGAUGCAAACUGCGAAUACCGGAGAAUGUUAUCACGGGAGACACACGGCGGGUGCUAACGUCCGUCGUGAAGAGGGAAACAACCCAGACCGCCAGCUAAGGUCCCAAAGUCAUGGUUAAGUGGGAAACGAUGUGGGAAGGCCCAGACAGCCAGGAUGUUGGCUUAGAAGCAGCCAUCAUUUAAAGAAAGCGUAAUAGCUCACUGGUCGAGUCGGCCUGCGCGGAAGAUGUAACGGGGCUAAACCAUGCACCGAAGCUGCGGCAGCGACACUGUGUGUUGUUGGGUAGGGGAGCGUUCUGUAAGCCUGUGAAGGUGUACUGUGAGGUAUGCUGGAGGUAUCAGAAGUGCGAAUGCUGACAUAAGUAACGAUAAAGCGGGUGAAAAGCCCGCUCGCCGGAAGACCAAGGGUUCCUGUCCAACGUUAAUCGGGGCAGGGUGAGUCGACCCCUAAGGCGAGGCCGAAAGGCGUAGUCGAUGGGAAACAGGUUAAUAUUCCUGUACUUGGUGUUACUGCGAAGGGGGGACGGAGAAGGCUAUGUUGGCCGGGCGACGGUUGUCCCGGUUUAAGCGUGUAGGCUGGUUUUCCAGGCAAAUCCGGAAAAUCAAGGCUGAGGCGUGAUGACGAGGCACUACGGUGCUGAAGCAACAAAUGCCCUGCUUCCAGGAAAAGCUUCUAAGCAUCAGGUAACAUCAAAUCGUACCCCAAACCGACACAGGUGGUCAGGUAGAGAAUACCAAGGCGCUUGAGAGAACUCGGGUGAAGGAACUAGGCAAAAUGGUGCCGUAACUUCGGGAGAAGGCACGCUGAUAUGUAGGUGAAGUCCCUCGCGGAUGGAGCUGAAAUCAGUCGAAGAUACCAGCUGGCUGCAACUGUUUAUUAAAAACACAGCACUGUGCAAACACGAAAGUGGACGUAUACGGUGUGACGCCUGCCCGGUGCCGGAAGGUUAAUUGAUGGGGUCAGCGCAAGCGAAGCUCUUGAUCGAAGCCCCGGUAAACGGCGGCCGUAACUAUAACGGUCCUAAGGUAGCGAAAUUCCUUGUCGGGUAAGUUCCGACCUGCACGAAUGGCGUAAUGAUGGCCAGGCUGUCUCCACCCGAGACUCAGUGAAAUUGAACUCGCUGUGAAGAUGCAGUGUACCCGCGGCAAGACGGAAAGACCCCGUGAACCUUUACUAUAGCUUGACACUGAACAUUGAGCCUUGAUGUGUAGGAUAGGUGGGAGGCUUUGAAGUGUGGACGCCAGUCUGCAUGGAGCCGACCUUGAAAUACCACCCUUUAAUGUUUGAUGUUCUAACGUGGACCCGUGAUCCGGGUUGCGGACAGUGUCUGGUGGGUAGUUUGACUGGGGCGGUCUCCUCCUAAAGAGUAACGGAGGAGCACGAAGGUUGGCUAAUCCUGGUCGGACAUCAGGAGGUUAGUGCAAUGGCAUAAGCCAGCUUGACUGCGAGCGUGACGGCGCGAGCAGGUGCGAAAGCAGGUCAUAGUGAUCCGGUGGUUCUGAAUGGAAGGGCCAUCGCUCAACGGAUAAAAGGUACUCCGGGGAUAACAGGCUGAUACCGCCCAAGAGUUCAUAUCGACGGCGGUGUUUGGCACCUCGAUGUCGGCUCAUCACAUCCUGGGGCUGAAGUAGGUCCCAAGGGUAUGGCUGUUCGCCAUUUAAAGUGGUACGCGAGCUGGGUUUAGAACGUCGUGAGACAGUUCGGUCCCUAUCUGCCGUGGGCGCUGGAGAACUGAGGGGGGCUGCUCCUAGUACGAGAGGACCGGAGUGGACGCAUCACUGGUGUUCGGGUUGUCAUGCCAAUGGCACUGCCCGGUAGCUAAAUGCGGAAGAGAUAAGUGCUGAAAGCAUCUAAGCACGAAACUUGCCCCGAGAUGAGUUCUCCCUGACCCUUUAAGGGUCCUGAAGGAACGUUGAAGACGACGACGUUGAUAGGCCGGGUGUGUAAGCGCAGCGAUGCGUUGAGCUAACCGGUACUAAUGAACCGUGAGGCUUAACCUUACAACGCCGAAGGUGUUU